Molecule: non-coding RNA, 492 nt
Organism: Cavia porcellus (domestic guinea pig)
Lineage: Eukaryota; Metazoa; Chordata; Mammalia; Rodentia; Caviidae
Source: the annotation of a RefSeq genome assembly
AUGGAGCUUGGGCUGAGCUGGCUUUUCCUGUUUGCGAUUCUGAGAGGUGUCCAGGGAGCGGAGCAGCUGGUGGAGUCCAGAGGAGACUUGGUGCAGCCUGGAAGUUCUCUGAGACUCUCCUGCAUGGCCUCGGGAUUCACCUUCAGUAAUUAUGACAUGCACUGGAUCCGUCAAUCUCCAGGAAAAGAGCUGGAGUGGAUCUCAGUUAUCUGGUACGACGGUAGUAAAACGUACUAUGCAGACUCCGUGAGGGGCCAAUUCACCAUCUCCAGAGACAACAGCAAGAAUACACUGUAUCUGCAGGUGAGCAGCCUGCGACCCGAGGACAUGGCCAUGCAUUACUACUGUGCAGCAAGCACAGAGAGGGAACAUUGUUUUGAACCCAGACAAAACCUCACUGUGGGGAAGGUCAUGCCAGCAGGGAUUGCUGUGGUCCAGGAAGAACCAGGCCAGGCCCCAGGAGCAGUUGCAGAGAAGGAAGCAGGAGGUUAG